ACCCAGGAGCAGAGCACGUGGUUGGACUUCAUGGAAUAUAUGACAGCUCCUCUCCGGCUCAGUUUCCUGAUCGGCCGAGUGAUACCUCGGCUCCCACGCUCCACAGGUGAUGAAACUGCAACUGGAAGAGGUGAAAUGACUUGCCCAAGGGCGUAAGGACAGAACUAGAAGUCAAAUCCAGAUAUACUGGAAGUCCCUGCCUUUCCGCUGGAUUCCCCUCUCUUGAAAUAGCCCGUGCCUUAUUCAGCCAGGAAC
Molecule: non-coding RNA, 255 nt
Organism: Miniopterus natalensis
Lineage: Eukaryota; Metazoa; Chordata; Mammalia; Chiroptera; Miniopteridae
Source: RefSeq, a predicted model, not a curated record